CGAGGGCUUUACUGUCUCUUACUUCCAAUCAGUGAAAUUGACCUCCCCGUGAAGAGGCGGGAAUGAAUUAACAAGACGAGAAGACCCUAUGGAGCUUUAACUAACUAGUCCAAAAGAAAUAAAUCUAACCACUAAGGGAUAAUAACAUUCUUUAUGGACUAGCAGUUUUGGUUGGGGUGACCUCGGAGAACAAGACAUCCUCCGAGCGAUUUUAAAGACUAGACUUACAAGUCAAACCAAAUUAUCGCUUAUUGAUCCAAAAAACUUGAUCAACGGAACAAGUACCCUAGGGAUA
This 295-nucleotide ribosomal RNA is filed under the name Capra falconeri (markhor). RNAcentral describes it as "partial large subunit ribosomal RNA". It matches the Rfam family "Bacterial large subunit ribosomal RNA", at positions 2005 to 2476 of the family's 2925-position model. Lineage: Eukaryota; Metazoa; Chordata; Mammalia; Artiodactyla; Bovidae. The record is from RNAcentral.